RNAcentral lists this ribosomal RNA (626 nucleotides) under Streptomyces sp. Ri3Pt_4326. RNAcentral's name for it is "bacterial SSU rRNA". It matches the Rfam family "Bacterial small subunit ribosomal RNA", at positions 387 to 1021 of the family's 1533-position model. The record is from RNAcentral. Lineage: Bacteria; Bacillati; Actinomycetota; Actinomycetes; Kitasatosporales; Streptomycetaceae.
UGCAGCGACGCCGCGUGAGGGAUGACGGCCUAUCGGGUUGUAAACCUCUUUCAGCAGGGAAGAAGCGAGAGUGACGGUACCUGCAGAAGAAGCGCCGGCUAACUACGUGCCAGCAGCCGCGGUAAUACGUAGGGCGCAAGCGUUGUCCGGAAUUAUUGGGCGUAAAGAGCUCGUAGGCGGCUUGUCGCGUCGGAUGUGAAAGCCCGGGGCUUAACCCCGGGUCUGCAUUCGAUACGGGCAGGCUAGAGUUCGGUAGGGGAGAUCGGAAUUCCUGGUGUAGCGGUGAAAUGCGCAGAUAUCAGGAGGAACACCGGUGGCGAAGGCGGAACUCUGGGCCGAUACUGACGCUGAGGAGCGAAAGCGUGGGGAGCGAACAGGAUUAGAUACCCUGGUAGUCCACGCCGUAAACGUUGGGAACUAGGUGUGGGCGACAUUCCACGUCGUCCGCGCCGCAGCUAACGCAUUAAGUUCCCCGCCUGGGGAGUACGGCCGCAAGGCUAAAACUCAAAGGAAUUGACGGGGGCCCGCACAAGCGGCGGAGCAUGUGGCUUAAUUCGACGCAACGCGAAGAACCUUACCCAGGCUUGACAUACACCGGAAACCUCUGGAGACAGGGGCCCCCUUGU